RNAcentral lists this ribosomal RNA (492 nucleotides) under uncultured bacterium. Its description in RNAcentral is "partial 16S ribosomal RNA". It matches the Rfam family "Bacterial small subunit ribosomal RNA", at positions 29 to 507 of the family's 1533-position model. The record is from RNAcentral.
AGUGAACGCUGGCGGUAGGCCUAACACAUGCAAGUCGAACGGCAGCACAGUAAGAGCUUGCUCUUACGGGUGGCGAGUGGCGGACGGGUGAGGAAUACAUCGGAAUCUACUUUUUCGUGGGGGAUAACGUAGGGAAACUUACGCUAAUACCGCAUACGACCUACGGGUGAAAGCAGUGGAUCUUCGGACCUUGCGCGAUUGAAUGAGACGAUGUCGGAUUAGCUAGUUGGCGGGGUAAAGGCACACCAAGGCGACGAUACGUAGCGGGUCUGAGAGGAUGAUCAGCCACACUGGAACUGAGACACGGUCCAGACUCCUACGGGAGGCAGCAGUGGGGAAUAUUGGACAAUGGGCGCAAGCCUGAUCCAGCCAUACCGCGUGGGUGAAGAAGGCCUUCGGGUUGUAAAGCCCUUUUGUUGGGAAAGAAAAGCAGCAGGUUAAUACCCCGCUGUUCUGACGGUACCCAAAGAAUAAGCACCGGCUAACUUCGUG